Bos taurus (domestic cattle) is the source of this 1030-nucleotide long non-coding RNA. The record is from Ensembl. Lineage: Eukaryota; Metazoa; Chordata; Mammalia; Artiodactyla; Bovidae.
UCAGGGUUGAUUUCCUUUAGGAUUGUCUGGUUUGGUCUCCUUGCUGUCCAAGGGCACUUGGAGUAUUACACGAUGUUCCUAAGAGCUCCUCCAGCCUGGACCAGGAACUGAUUUCAGAGACCUGGCAAGAACGAAACACCAGGGCAACACCCACAACGAUUUUGCCUCAAGCUCACUUGUUUUUAAUCUUUCACGUCUCAUAGAUGAAAGAACUGAGGCACAGAGAGGUUAAGCAACUUGUCCAAAGCUAUCCAGCUGGUACCUGGCAGAUCUGGGAUUUGAACGCAGGCAGUCCGGACCCAGAAACCUUGCUCUUAAUCACUUUGCUAUCUUAUAUCUGUUGAGGAGCUGUGCCUCUAGGAAGUGAGAAGACCCCAGGAGCUCCAGUCUGGAUCCCUGAAAUCUCAAGCUUUAAGGAAGGAAUUGAACAAGAGCUCCAGUUCCAUCUGUGCCUGACGCCCAGGCGUGCCACUUGCUGCCUGACAAGGACAAGAAGAACAAACUGGCAGAGAAAAGGACACGGAGGAGGAAAGGAUGGACGCAGCAACUCUCCAAGUUUCUCCCCAACACAACCGCGAAUUAACCAAGACAGUCUGCACGCUUAAAUGCUACAACUGGGCUUCCGCAGAAAUGUUCCUGACUGAUGAGAUUUUGAACCUUCCAGCUGUCCUGGGCACUUUUUUUUUCAGACUUACAUAGCACCAGGCAUGUUUUUCCCAAGAGGCCACAGCAGACUAUCCACAACUUAGAUAGUUUUUCCUCCAGGUUCCAGGGUCACAAAUAACUUUAGUCCCCAUGGCAGGAUCUGGAAGAGAUAGGUCUGACAGCCCCCAUUCUUGCCAGGUGGACCCUCUUUAAGGCCUCACAUUGUAAAAAUCUUAUCUGACUUUACAUGUCUGUAGCUUCUCAUCCUGGGAAUUACUGAAAAUAUUUCCAAGAAUAGUUUGGGGGAUGGGCAUUGACAUCCCUUGGCUUCCCUGGUGGCUCAGUGGUAAAGAAACUGCCUGCCAAUGCAGGAGACGCAGGGUCA